Molecule: long non-coding RNA, 447 nt
Organism: Ixodes scapularis (black-legged tick)
Lineage: Eukaryota; Metazoa; Arthropoda; Arachnida; Ixodida; Ixodidae
Exons: 2
Source: RefSeq, a predicted model, not a curated record
AGGAGUAGAUCAAGGUGCAACCGGGGGCGCUUCGAACAAUGAAGCUGCUAAGACCAUGGAGGCUACAGAAAACAAAGUAGAGGAACAGCCCCGGGAAAGCCGCCAAGACAACGGAGGCAUCUGCAGUCUGCUUGCGCCUCUGGCGAACCUGGCUCAGAAGGUCGUCGCCAUGUUCCCUGUAGUGGGUCCUUUCUUAAAGAAAUUCGUGUCCUUCGUCGAGAAAAUGUUGUGCAACAGAAAUGCGGGGAUCGCGUGAAUGCCCAUUCGGUGGUGGAUCUCACACCACGCGCUAUCCCGGGGAUAUAGGAAUGUUUACUUGUCGUUUCCAAAAUCUUAGAAAUUUAUCAUCUUUGAAAUUUCGUUUUUUCGAAACACUCAUCAGAUUUGAUCAAUUCAAAGAUACGGCAUUGCUUUUUACAGAACCAAUAAAACAUAAUUUUGGAUUUU